RNAcentral lists this ribosomal RNA (280 nucleotides) under uncultured bacterium. RNAcentral describes it as "partial 16S ribosomal RNA". It matches the Rfam family "Bacterial small subunit ribosomal RNA", at positions 29 to 336 of the family's 1533-position model. The record is from RNAcentral.
AAUGAACGCUGGCGGCAUGCCUAACACAUGCAAGUCGAACGAAGCCUUCGGGUUUAGUGGCGCACGGGUGCGUAACGCGUGGGAAUCUGCCCCUUGGUUCGGAAUAACAGUUGGAAACGACUGCUAAUACCGGAUGAUGACGUAAGUCCAAAGAUUUAUCGCCGAGGGAUGAGCCCGCGUAGGAUUAGGUAGUUGGUGUGGUAAAGGCGCACCAAGCCGACGAUCCUUAGCUGGUCUGAGAGGAUGAUCAGCCACACUGGGACUGAGACACGGCCCAGAC